GACGAACGCUGGCGGCGUGGAUUAGGCAUGCAAGUCGAACGGUAUCAUCCUUUCGGGGGUGAGAGAGUGGCGAACUGGUGAGUAACACGUAGGUUAUCUACCCUCAAGACGGGGACAACCCAGGGAAACUUGGGCUAAUACCGGAUGUGAGCAACUUUUAGUUGUUUGAAAGGUGGCGUAAGCUGUCGCUUGGGGAUGAGCCUGCGUCCUAUUAGUUAGUUGGUGAGGUAACGGCUCACCUAGGCAAUGAUAGGUAGGCGGCCUUAACGGGUGGUCGCCCACACUGGGAUUGAGAUACGGCCCAGACUCCUACGGGAGGCAGCAGUCGAGAAUAGUCUACAAUGGUCGGAAGACUGAUAGUGCGACGCCGCGUGAACGAUGAAUCCCUUCGGGGUGUAAAGUUCUUUUAUAUGUGAGCAGUGCUUCUUAUAUUAAGAGUAUGGGGAGAGAGAUAUUAGCAUAUGAAUAAGCAACGGCUAACUCCGUGCCAGCAGCCGCGGU
This 501-nucleotide ribosomal RNA is filed under the name uncultured bacterium. RNAcentral's name for it is "bacterial SSU rRNA". It matches the Rfam family "Bacterial small subunit ribosomal RNA", at positions 28 to 521 of the family's 1533-position model. The record is from RNAcentral.